RNAcentral lists this transfer RNA (90 nucleotides) under Permianibacter aggregans. RNAcentral describes it as "tRNA-Ser". It matches the Rfam family "tRNA". From Rfam's summary of the family: Transfer RNA (tRNA) molecules are approximately 80 nucleotides in length. Their secondary structure includes four short double-helical elements and three loops (D, anti-codon, and T loops). Further hydrogen bonds mediate the characteristic L-shaped molecular structure. tRNAs have two regions of fundamental functional importance: the anti-codon, which is responsible for specific mRNA codon recognition, and the 3' end, to which the tRNAs corresponding amino acid is attached (by aminoacyl-tRNA synthetases). tRNAs cope with the degeneracy of the genetic code in two manners: having more than one tRNA (with a specific anti-codon) for a particular amino acid; and 'wobble' base-pairing, i.e. permitting non-standard base-pairing at the 3rd anti-codon position. The record is from RNAcentral. Lineage: Bacteria; Pseudomonadati; Pseudomonadota; Gammaproteobacteria; Pseudomonadales; Pseudomonadaceae.
GGAAGCGUGGCAGAGCGGUUGAAUGCACCGGUCUUGAAAACCGGCGAUGGCGCAAGUCAUCCGUGAGUUCGAAUCUCACCGCUUCCGCCA